CCAUGCAUUCGUAAGUGAUCAUGGUCUGCCCAUGUCCUGGUCACUGGUAGUGCAGGCAGAAGAAAUGUGGGAAGGGUUGCCCUGUGUUGGAGGGUCAACAGCCUCACCUUCCUGUUCCGGGACUUUCCCCUA
This 132-nucleotide small nucleolar RNA is filed under the name Microcebus murinus (gray mouse lemur). RNAcentral's name for it is "Small nucleolar RNA SNORA71 (ENSMICG00000021517.3)". It matches the Rfam family "Small nucleolar RNA SNORA71". Rfam says of the family: The members of this family belong to the H/ACA class of snoRNAs which bind a number of proteins (including dyskerin, Gar1p and Nop10p) to form snoRNP complexes. This class of snoRNAs are thought to guide the sites of modification of uridines to pseudouridines by forming direct base pairing interactions with substrate RNAs. The record is from Rfam by way of RNAcentral. Lineage: Eukaryota; Metazoa; Chordata; Mammalia; Primates; Cheirogaleidae.